UUCCCAUCGUGGCUCAGUGGUUAACGAAUCCGACUAGGAACCAUGAGGUUUCGGGUACGAUCCCUGGCCUUGCUCAGGGGGUUAAGGAUCCGGUGUUGCCGUGAGCUGUGGUGUAGCUUGCAGACACAGCUUGGAUCCCGUGUUGCUAUGGCUCUGGUGUAGGCUGGCGGCUACAGCUCUGAUUCAACCCCCUAGCCUGGGAACCUCCAUGUACCUUGGGAAUGGCCCCAGAAAUGGUGAAAAAAAAAAAAAAAAAAAAAAGAAUACCUCUUUAAAUAUAGAAUGUUAAGCUUUAGAUGGCUGGAAAAGAGGAGGGGAAAGCACAAGCUGAAAGGGCUCCCCACUUACCAUAGGGGCAUGACCCAUAAGUACCCAUUUGAAGGACAGGCAGAUUUGGGUGGAAAGGGUCCCGGAUGAGUGAGGUGUAUUGGAUCCCACAGUCUGCCCACCUCUGUUCACAACGGAGGGAGCCCAACAUGCUAGUUUAUAUUAUGCAUCUGGAUAAGAGUGUAUUCGUGUUUUGUCUUUCUGACAAAUGGCAUAAAAUUACCUAAAUCUCACUCUAGGAGAGAAGUCAGCUACCAUCGCUUUCCUUCUGGUAGGGAAUUGAAGGUGUGUAAGGGGAGAGUGAGGUUUAUAGACUAAAGAAGGGACCCUCAUGACAGCAUUUGAUUGUUGAGUGAGCCACUGGGAAGGUGGGGGAGGCUUUUGUUUGUUUCUUUCUUUCUUUCUUUCUUUCUUUUUAGGGCUGCACCCAUCGCAUAUAGAGGUUCCCAGGCUAGAGGUUGAAUGGGAGCUACAGCUGCCAGCCUACACCACAGCCACAGCAACACUGGAUCCAAGCUGCAUCUGCGACCUAUACCACAGCUCAUGGCAAUGCUAGAUCCUUAACCCACUGAGCAAGACCAGGAAUCAAACCCUCGUCCUCAUGGAUGCUAGUUGGGUUUGUUACUGCUGAGCCACAAUGGGAACUCUCCGGGGGAGGUUCUCUGAUUGACUUUCAAGUAGAACUGUCAGUCUUUGAUGGGUUCAAUAUCUACUGGUACAUACUAAGGAGAUUUCCAGGCCGAGGAGGGUCAUAGUGGUUUCCUGUUUCAACUAGAAAGAUAUCUGGUCUUCAGCUUCAGGGUCAGAACCUUGCAUAAGCAUUUCUUCCAUUCGCUAAAUAUUACAAUAGAAAUGUAGUCCAAAUCAAUGUUUUAUAUGUAUUUACAGCUAUUUGUAUAAAUCCAUCACAUUGAAGACAGAUUAAGACUUGUCAUCAAUUUCCUUAGGGGAGAAUGAAAGUGAAAAGGAGAAAUACAAGCAUUGGAUGAAUGCUGCGCUGGAAAGAGGAACCAAAGCCCCUGCUAAGAGCCCGACUUGGUCAGACACCAGAUGGCCCCAGGAUGCCUUUGUUUGGCAGCAGCACUGCUGAUUCCCAGAUCCCCAGAGGCACCAGUUUCCGAAAGUAAUGCAAAUCACUGGAAGCUUGGCCAUGUAGAAGCGUGAGAACUGGAUGAAACAGGAAGAUCUGGAUUCUGGUAAGAAUUCAUCGUCAUCCGGGAGUGGAACCUCCAGCAAGUCACUUGAUCCCUCCAUCCUCUCCCCAAACAAGCUCUUCUUAUUCACUCACCAAUUAUUUACUGAGGCGCCUCACUGCCCUCGGCUCAUGCUGGAAUGCUGUGACCCUGUGCUAUUUUACAGACUUGCUAUGAGUGUGUUAUUUUGCAGACUUGUACUCCAUUUAAUGUAUACCACCAUUUCCAUCAUUCUGCAACAGAAUUAUGUAGAAUUCUCAAGAUUUGUUUGUUUGUUUGUUUUUUGCUUUUUAGGGCUGCACCUGCAGCAUAUGAAAGUUUCAGGCUAGGGGUCAAAUCAAAGCUGCAGUUGUCAGCUUGCGCCACAGCCAUAGCAACCUACACCACAGCUCACGGCAACGCUGGAUCCUUAACCCACUGAGCGAGGCCAGGGAUUGAACCCACGUCUUCAUGGAUCCUAGUUGGCUUCUUUACCGCUGAGCCACGACAGGAACUGCUAGAAUUCUCAAGCUUUAAGAGUGGAGUAAAACCUUUGUAAUCUAGGUAUUGAGAGCUCUAGAAAUAAGAGAAAGUUAGUGGUCCUCGUAAGGGACUAGGGUAAAGGAUAAACAGAGGAAAGAAUGGGAGAUGGGCGGGAACCUAAUUCCUGUGGUCCAGAGCAUCUUGGAGGAGGGGGCAAAGGGGAGAAACCCUGAGCCAAAGCUGUGGGGAAAGUUGCAAUUCAUGGUGCCAAAUUCCUAAGCAUGAUUGUCUAAAUGCCUUAUUUUCCUCAAUGUACGAUUCAUUAUUCUUCUCAGGCAACCCCAGUCUGAACCAAACAAUGCUGAUAUGUUUGCUCUUACUACAGGAGAGGGUGAGAUUAAGCUCAACAACGUUGUCCUUGGAGAUUGAAUAUCUAAUGGUUAAGAUCACAGGUUUUUGACAGAUAUAGGGAACAAGAGCCAAAAUCAAUAGACACUGGUAUUUUGUUCCAGAAAAACUACACAGACUAAACAUGGUCAUAAAGGAUAUAAUAGUGUCAGGGAAUGUUAUUUUUCUACUUCUCAGAAGAAAUUUAGAUCCAUUGCUAGACACAGCCUUUAUUGUGAUUUUAACCUAUCAUCAUUUGAUUGUUUUUCUUCAUUGUACAGCAACGUGCUGGCCAAGAAAAUCGAAGGCCUCUCAGCAAGAAACAAUUGGAAAACAAACUAGUUGGAACUCGCUCACAUAAGGACAUACGUUCAUGUUCAAAUGCAAACACACACAGACAGGGAUAAAUGCCAUCGAAGGAAAAGAAACAUGAGGUAUUCCAUAAGGCAAACUGACUACUAAUCAAAAUUUAACUCUGAGGAGUUCCCGUUGUGGCUCAGUAAGUUAGGGACCUGACAUAGCAUCUGUGAGGAUUCAGAUCUGAUCUCCAGCUUCUCUCAUUGGGUUAAGGAUCCAGGGUUUCUGUGAGCUGCAGUGUAGGUGGCAGAUGCAGCUCAGAUCUGGUGUUGCUAUGGCCUCAGCUGCAGCUCUAGUUUGACUCCUGGGCCAGGAACUUGCUAUGCUGCAGGUGCAACUAUAAAAAGAAAAACAAAUUUCACUUUGAGACCAAAAAUACCUUUGGGCAACAGUUGGUGAGCAAAUUCCCUGUUAAUGAGAGUCCAAGGAGCCCAAUGUCAGGCUGUUUUAAAGGGCUCCCCUGUGCUCAAGUAUCUUAGGUAAAUAUGGGGCCGGCCAGGUAAAAGUGCUUUGUAAGUCAAAUUAGAGGGUGGUUGAUAGGAAUGUAGAAGGAAGUCAGAACUGAAGAUGUUUCUGGCCAGAGAGUUUGAUUCAUUAAAAGAACACUAAUAGCAACAUAAACUCAUGUGCCUUUACACACACAAAAAUAAUGUUUCCUGAUUCGUAACCCAUGUGGCUGAGAGGGUCUCUUCUUUGUGUUAAGAAGCUAGAAAAGCUCACUUGAGAUCAUCUUAAUGUUCACUUAAUUAAUAAUUGAGAUCCUAUUAAUCCAGAAAAGAGCCAUUUGAGGAUUUUUGCAGACAUUGCAGGUAUGGACUAGGGCUCUGUGUAUCUUCUCACAAUAUUGGAGGAUUUUAUGUGUACAAAGGCCUACUAGGAAUCUUCCGCCCUUGCCUCCUUCUCCCUCACACACCUACAGCUCUGCUUUCCCAAGUAAAAUAUUGUAGCACUAUCAUGCUUUACAGAUUAUACCUUACAUAUUCGGUAAUUAAAUAUGAAAAGUAGGGAGUUCCUGCUGUGGCUCAGUGGUAACAAACCCAACUAGUGUCCAUGAGGAUGCAGGUUUGAUCCCUGGCCUUGCUCAGUGGGGUUAAGGAUCUGGUGUUGCUGCAAGCUGAGGCAUAGGUAGCAGACACAGCUCAGAUCUGGCGCUGCUGUGGCGUAGGCCGGCAGGCAGCUACAACUCUGAUUCAACCCCUAGCCUGGGAAUUUCCAUACGCCACAGGAGCAGCCAUAAGAAGGAAAAACAAAAAAUCUGUGUUAAGACCUCAGGAAGUUUUAAGGUGUUGCUUCAUAGACCCUUUCAAGCAUACAAAGACCUGCAAACUAUAAGCUCAGACAGUAGCUUUGCAGAGACUAAGGCAGAGAAGGGCUAAAUGAGAUUUGUGGGUAUGGUUUUGCCUAAUGGAGUGGGUCAUAAAUUGAUUCUUAAGAAGCCUGCAAUGUUUUUUCCUUAAAGAACUAUGAUGAACUUAAAUCAUAAGGGACAUCAGGCCUUCGAAUUCCCAAAGGGCAGGAAGCAGUCUAAGAGAGCAACUCAGCUGCAAAGAUGGGCUACUUUUAGUGGAAAAGGAAAAGUGCCCAAAGGGUAGACUCAAGAGCAGAUAUGGUGAAUGACUUCCAAGAAACAGAACUGAGUCCUCAUCAGGGAACUGGCAGCACACACUCAGGAGGAUUGCAGAACUGCUGUGAGCCAGGGACUACUCUGGGCUCCCCACUUUUCUCCCUUUUGAGCCUAAGUGUCUAUACCUUGACCCACUGCUGUAUUUUGGGUAUGGUGGGGAGAUGGCUUGUCUCUUGAGUCACAGGUGUUCAGAUUGGGUGGAGCUACCCUAGGGGAUAGUAGCCAGGGAGCCUCAGCCACAUGCUACCAUAGGAUCUGGAAGCAUGGAUCGAUGUCGGGAGACAUGUUUCUACAAUAUUUUCUUAGCCACUCUGUUUCUAUUUUCUUUGCUAAAACCUCCAUCUUGUCCUGCCUUACUUUACCCCAUCUUCCUGCUGGAAAAACAGUCACAGUGCUGGUAAAUAAAUUAAGCUUAAGAACAAAGACCUAAAGGCAUAAGUUAUUCUUAGGGUCAGCUGAAUGAGGACAGGGAUGCCGGACCUGUGCAGAUGGGCACGCCUGUGCAGAUGGGCAGGGCGUCUGCACAACAUAUGUCCUAUCAAAAUAAGAGAAAGAGGAACCUCAUGGCCCCAAGUGGUUUAUGAAUGGUCAUUAGCAGAAUAUGCAUCAGCAAGGAGAACCAAGGUGCAAACCUAGGCACCCCAGGUUGCCGCAGAUAGACAUGCCCUUUGUGGAAGCACAAUGGUGAUUCUUGAGAUGCUAUGCACAGAUAGCCAAGCUUCCCCAAAUGCUAAUGAUUGUUAAAUGCCUAAAGGUCAGAAUAAAAGCUUAAUCAUCUACCAGCUGUGUGACUUCUAAAAUAAUAAAAGAACUUCUAAAAUAAUACAAAAAACUAUAUCCUACACCUAUAACCCCCUCCUCACUUGACGUCAUCCUAAAGAGCACAGUAAAAGCAGUGUGGUUUCUUGAGGCAGCACUCUUGGUCCCUGAGACCUUGAGUCCCCCAGUUCCCACCUUUACUUAAGAUAAAUGUCUCUGUAUCUUGUUUUAUGUUAACUUUUCCUUAAGUUUCACGGCACCCGUUCUUCCGCCCUCACCUGCUGAGCUGUCUCGGCAGAUGGAGAGGAGGGGGAGUGAGUAUAUCUUACAUGUAGGGGGAAAUGCAAAGAAUUCAUGUCCCAUGGGCCACCUGUGAAGUCUUAAAACAUGCCUGUGAAUUCGUUGAUGUUCUUCCCAACAAAAGAUAGAGCCCAAUUCCCCUUCCCUUGAAAGGGGCUUGCUUCUAACAAAUAGAAUAUGGCAGAAGGGAUCCUGUUUGACUUCUCAGACAAGCUCACAAAAGGGGAGGCAGUUUUGCCUUGUUUCUUUUCUCUUGCCAGGUUUGCUUUGGAAUCCACUGACCCCUGUGGGAGGUGGGCCAGCAGCCACCAGGGAGGGCAGGGUGGAGGUGUUCUGGCCACAGUCCAGCUGCGGUCCCAGCCCAGGGCCACUCUUACCCGGCAACCUGUGAGUAGGAAGGUGAGUUUUCAGAUGUGGUCCCAGCGCAGAGAUGCCACGGGGAGCAAAGACAAACUGUCCUUGCCAACCCCAGCCAAAUUAUAAAUUCAUGAGGAAAAUGAAUGUAAUCAUUGAUUUAAGGCACUACUUUUUGGAGUGGUUUGUUAUGUGGCAACAGAUUAACUGGAUGUUGAUGUGCAAAUACCUGCUAGAAAUAUCCCCAUAUGCAAAUGCAACCUUGUAACAGUCACAAGAUUUUAGGCAUUAUAAAUUAUAAUUUCUUUAUGGUUCCCAGAUUUAUCACUUACUAAUUGUGGGACCUUUAGUAAGUCAGUCUCUUGAACUUCAGCGUCUGCAACUAUAAAAUGGAGAUGAAAGUACUUGUCUUAAAAAAAAUGAUUUAUGUUGUGAGAUAACGGAUGUUAGCUAAAAAAAAGUCAUUUAUGAAUAUUAUCUAGCAACGAGCAAAAGGAUGAUGUAUUGGAUUCACAUGAUUACAAAGAUAAAAAUGUACAGAAAUAGAUGGAUUAGGUUAGUGGAAUUAAAAAUAUUUUUUUCCUUCUAUUUUCCAGAUUUCCUUAAAAUGAUUUACUUUAGUAAUAAAAAAUUAAAAAGUGUUCCCCAAAAUCCCAUUGCACACUCCCAGCCCAAACCCAGGGAAUAAGUCAAUGGUUAUUUCUUCUCAGUCUCCCUGCAGGUUAAACCAGGUAAAUGGUUUGGAAGAGAAACAGUGAUGAAACAGCUUCCUAUCUCUUGGAAUCUGGGGGUCAAUACAGGAUUGACCCCAGAACCCAGAUUACUUGCCUCCCCAGCUAGCACACUAUUUCUUCCACCUGUAACCUCACAGUACUAGUUUUCACCUGUAUAGGCUAAGCCACACGAAAUGCCUUUAUUUAAAUAACUGGAAGUCUCAGCCAUCUGAUCUUAGGAGGCAUAUAAUCCAGUGAUUAGCAGAGUCAGUCAAAAUGCAUGCAUUGGAAACCUGCCUCCAGCACGUAUUAUCUGGGGUUUUUGUAGAUGUGAAUAAUGAUACUGGGGGGAGAUCAUCCUGGAUUACAAGGGUGGACCCUCUAUCCAAAGACACAGACACACGCAGGUCAGGGGAAGAGAGAAGUUAUGUAGCCACAAACCAGGCAAAGUCUGGAGCCACAGAAGCAGGGAGAAGUGGGAACGGAGUCUCUCUUAGAUCCCAGAGGAAGGACAGCCCUGAGGACAACUUCUAGCCCUCUGAACUGCGAUAAUACAUUUCUGUUGUUUUAAGACACCAAGUUUGUGAUGAUUCAUUAUGGCAGCCCUACGAAUAUAAUGCAGUGGAAGAAUCUUGCAAAUCACAAGGAUGAAGGGAAAAAAUUCAAAUGACAAGAAAAAAACCAUUUAAAGCUUUAAAAACAUGUAAUGGAUACUUUGUAUUAUUUAUAGAUAUAUACAUAUUGACAAAAAGCAUAAAGAAAAUGGGAGGGAAUUCCCUGGUGGUCUCAUGGUUAGGAUUUGGUGCUUUCACCACUGCAGCCUAGGUUCAAUCCCCAGUCUGGGAACUGAGAUCCCACACCAACCCACUACACACUGUGGC
Molecule: transfer RNA, 7357 nt
Filed under: Sus scrofa (pig)
Lineage: Eukaryota; Metazoa; Chordata; Mammalia; Artiodactyla; Suidae
Description: lncRNA (ENSSSCG00055001685.1)
Source: RNAcentral